ACUCUAGUAGCUUAGAUCUUAAAGCAUUGUUCUUGUAAACCAAAGCCGGGCCCAACCCCUAGAGUA
This 66-nucleotide transfer RNA is filed under the name Thermophis baileyi. RNAcentral's name for it is "tRNA-Thr". It matches the Rfam family "tRNA". Rfam says of the family: Transfer RNA (tRNA) molecules are approximately 80 nucleotides in length. Their secondary structure includes four short double-helical elements and three loops (D, anti-codon, and T loops). Lineage: Eukaryota; Metazoa; Chordata; Lepidosauria; Squamata; Dipsadidae. The record is from RNAcentral.